AGAGUUUGAUCCUGGCUCAGAACGAACGCUGGCGGCAUGCCUAACACAUGCAAGUCGAACGCGUGUAGCAAUACACGAGUGGCGCACGGGUGAGUAACGCGUGGGAACCUGCCCUGGAGUGGGGGAUAACCCGGCGAAAGCCGGGCUAAUACCGCAUACGACCUUCGGGUGAAAGAUUUAUCGCUCUGGGAGGGGCCCGCGUCGGAUUAGCUAGUUGGUGAGGUAACGGCUCACCAAGGCGAUGAUCCGUAGCUGGUCUGAGAGGAUGAUCAGCCACACUGGGACUGAGACACGGCCCAGACUCCUACGGGAGGCAGCAGUGGGGAAUAUUGGACAAUGGGGGCAACCCUGAUCCAGCAAUGCCGCGUGAGUGAUGAAGGCCUUAGGGUUGUAAAGCUCUUUCGGCGGGGACGAUGAUGACGGUACCCGCAGAAGAAGCCCCGGCUAACUUCGUGCCAGCAGCCGCGGUAAUACGAAGGGGGCGAGCGUUGUUCGGAAUUACUGGGCGUAAAGGGCGCGCAGGCGGCCUGAGAAGUCAGAUGUGAAAGCCCCGGGCUCAACCUGGGAAUAGCAUUUGAUACUCUGAGGCUGGAGUGCGGGAGAGGAGAGUGGAAUUCCCAGUGUAGAGGUGAAAUUCGUAGAUAUUGGGAAGAACACCGGUGGCGAAGGCGGCUCUCUGGACCGUAACUGACGCUGAGGCGCGAAAGCGUGGGGAGCAAACAGGAUUAGAUACCCUGGUAGUCC
This 744-nucleotide ribosomal RNA is filed under the name uncultured bacterium. Its description in RNAcentral is "bacterial SSU rRNA". It matches the Rfam family "Bacterial small subunit ribosomal RNA", at positions 8 to 796 of the family's 1533-position model. The record is from RNAcentral.